RNAcentral lists this ribosomal RNA (430 nucleotides) under Salmonella enterica. RNAcentral's name for it is "partial 23S ribosomal RNA". It matches the Rfam family "Bacterial large subunit ribosomal RNA", at positions 774 to 1202 of the family's 2925-position model. The record is from RNAcentral. Lineage: Bacteria; Pseudomonadati; Pseudomonadota; Gammaproteobacteria; Enterobacterales; Enterobacteriaceae. RNAcentral also lists the same sequence under 2 other names.
CCGAACCGACUAAUGUUGAAAAAUUAGCGGAUGACCUGUGGCUGGGGGUGAAAGGCCAAUCAAACCGGGAGAUAGCUGGUUCUCCCCGAAAGCUAUUUAGGUAGCGCCUCGUGAAUUCAUCUCCGGGGGUAGAGCACUGUUUCGGCUAGGGGGCCAUCCCGGCUUACCAACCCGAUGCAAACUGCGAAUACCGGAGAAUGUUAUCACGGGAGACACACGGCGGGUGCUAACGUCCGUCGUGAAGAGGGAAACAACCCAGACCGCCAGCUAAGGUCCCAAAGUCAUGGUUAAGUGGGAAACGAUGUGGGAAGGCCCAGACAGCCAGGAUGUUGGCUUAGAAGCAGCCAUCAUUUAAAGAAAGCGUAAUAGCUCACUGGUCGAGUCGGCCUGCGCGGAAGAUGUAACGGGGCUAAACCAUGCACCGAAGCUG